Molecule: transfer RNA, 72 nt
Filed under: Candidatus Magasanikiibacteriota bacterium
Lineage: Bacteria; Candidatus Magasanikiibacteriota
Description: tRNA-Arg
Rfam family: tRNA
About the family: Transfer RNA (tRNA) molecules are approximately 80 nucleotides in length.
Source: RNAcentral
GCUCCUAUAGUUCAACGGAUAGAAUAUCAGGCUUCGAACCUGAAGAUAGGGGUUCGAUUCCCUUUGGGAGCA